AAACUAAAGCUUGAGCACAAUUUUUGGUGUUGAGGUGGAGGGGAUUGGGCUGGUACGGGGUGGAAGAGGCUGAGCAAAGCCUUCUGUUUAAAAAUAAUUAGGAGUAGUUUAAAACUCAAUAGGCAUUAAGGAAUCAAAGCUUUCAAACCUGUCCUUAUCAUCGAACUGAACAAGGGUUAGAGGGUCAAGGAUUAGAGAUUCA
RNAcentral lists this unclassified non-coding RNA (202 nucleotides) under Hevea brasiliensis (rubber tree). Lineage: Eukaryota; Viridiplantae; Streptophyta; Magnoliopsida; Malpighiales; Euphorbiaceae. The record is from RNAcentral.